This 253-nucleotide ribosomal RNA is filed under the name uncultured bacterium. Its description in RNAcentral is "partial 16S ribosomal RNA". It matches the Rfam family "Bacterial small subunit ribosomal RNA", at positions 524 to 776 of the family's 1533-position model. The record is from RNAcentral.
UACGGGGGGAGCAAGCGUUGUUCGGAUUUACUGGGCGUAAAGGGCGCGUAGGCGGUCAGCACAAGUCAGUUGUGAAAUCUCCGGGCUUAACUCGGAAAGGUCAACUGAUACUGUGCGACUAGAGUGCAGAAGGGGCAACUGGAAUUCUCGGUGUAGCGGUGAAAUGCGUAGAUAUCGAGAGGAACACCUGCGGCGAAGGCGGGUUGCUGGGCUGACACUGACGCUGAUGCGCGAAAGCCAGGGAGCGAACAGG